This is a long non-coding RNA of Oryzias melastigma (Indian medaka), 2822 nucleotides long. RefSeq lists it as uncharacterized. The transcript has 2 exons. The record is from RefSeq and is a predicted model, not a curated record. Lineage: Eukaryota; Metazoa; Chordata; Actinopteri; Beloniformes; Adrianichthyidae.
CUCUUAAAAUAUAUAUUUCUAAAAAUAAUUUCUUGAACAAAUUAAAACACUUUAUUUCAUUCCUAGACAAAUCUAACAGUAACAGAGGCAGCAAACCCUCACUGGUGUGAGUUUUCAUUCAGGAGUGAUAAAGACAAAUGAAUCCUAAUGAGAGGUAAUUCAUCUCUACUGUCACACUCUCCCCCCAUCGUGAACACCGGGUUAAUCGUCCAAUUUUAACAGAUGUUCACCUCUCAGAUCUGAGGACCUCCAACUUUAACAAAAAAAAUGUAAAUAAAAGCUAGAAGCAGGAAUCUCAGUGACGAAGGAGAGGUGAUAGAUCAGCACUCCCCUAAAAACGUAAAUCAGACCCGCCUCCCUCCAUCCUCCUCAGAGACAUUAUUAGAUAAGAUCAAUAUUCAGAAAGGGGGGCUCCAUUUUUAGCCCUUCCUGUCUGUCUGUGUGUGAGCAACGCACCCCGAUGCCUCCCGUCAGCAGCGGAUGCAACAUCACCAUGGCAACACCGCCUCCUGAACACAUAUGGGUAGCACGCAAAUCCGGCCACGCUGGAGCAAUGGCUGUUGGCAGAGGGAACGUGAGCGCGCCCGAGACGUACGGCUCUGCCGCCGCGUCGACUGGACCCAGCGUCCUUACGCCACCGACGGAACGCAGCGUGGGACAAACACGGGAGUUCUGCAGAAAUCUGCAGAGCUCACCAAAAGACAAAGAAGGGGUCGACAGACUCCCACCAUGAAAAAGGCAGGAACUCAGACUGGAGCGCUGAGAGGCAGAACCCUCAUCGAUUCAGAUGGAUGCUGAUGACAUCAUUCGCUGCAGGACGGGAGGGGCUUAGUGCUGAAACAGGCGAAUCGGCAACAUGCGGUCCCCACCUCUGCCCACAGAGAGGUGCCCUUCAAGCUGAAGGAGCAGCAGGGAGAGCAUCACGCCAAACUCAGCAGAAGACCUCCAAACUCGAGUUAGGAGUGUGACACAGACUGUAGUGAUGCUGACUUUCAAGCACAAAACAAUUAAUGAGGAGAUUUCUAAAAAGUUUAAAGUAGGAAAGCUGUAAAAGAAGCUUAAUCAACGACUGGAUCGGUCGUCUGGAUUACCUUUGUGCCAUUUGUCAAAAAUAAUCAGUUCAAUCUUAUUUUGAUCUAUUGUAAAGUCAUUCUUAGUGGUCUUUAUGAUUAUCGCUCUCAUCCGCUCACUGCCGAACGUCACAGAAGCUGAUGUUUUGGAGUAAAAGGAGUCCAAUGCGGUGGUUUACUGUCACUAAUUCCAGUCUUAGAGGACAAAGGAAAGAUUCAUUUUUAGUCACAAAUAGUCACAAGUGCAGCUCAUUGUGACACAUCUUUGAAAACUUUGCUGUGUAAAAGUUGUAUUUUUAAUGACAUGAGUUAUGAGUUAUAUUGCUAUUUUUACAAUUGCAUACUAUCACUAGUUAGACUAAAAAAUGUAAAAAAAAUCUGAAAAAGAACCCUAAAAAUAAAAAUCCUGUGUUUUUUUUCUAGGAUAAAGUUUGUGCAGCGCAGCAGGAGUUCAUUAUAACUAGGGGUAGGUGUUAAAAUGUUGUUUUAUCUUGAAAAAUAAUAAAUUAUAAUAAAGUCUAGAGAUCCUUUUGAUUCAAAAAUAUAGUCAGAGGGAAAAAAAUAAAUCAUAAACAGCUGAAUCAAUUUAUCUUUAAAUAUCUGAGUCCUAAUCUGUAUCGUUCAGAUUCGCAGUAAACAAAGACUGAUGUUCAUCAGCUUCAACUCUAUUUCCACUCAGCUUCAUAUCUUGUUCUGCAUUUGCUGUGUCAAUAAGUGAAGAUGAAAAAAAAGCUAAAUCAUCUACCACUUCUAAUAACACCUCAGGUUUAUCACAAGGAGCAGCAUCACAUGCUUCAAUGUCCGUUUCCAUGGCAACAACCACAAGCCAGCCGCCUCCGUGUUAAUCACCUUGAUAUGCCACGUCACCCAGCAUGGCUCUUAUCUUUGAGGAGGGAAAACAAAAAUAAAAAAUAAGAGCAGAUCAAUAAACCAAAACAAAUAAUUGACAUCCUCUGAUUAACACUUUGUCCGAUCUGAUGAAGAACGUCCAAUCCGAACAAAUGUUGAUUAAAAGUGUCAAUGAACCAGAACGACUCCUCAAGGCUGAAAUCACAGCUUUUAAAGAGCAUUUUUGACUACAAACUGUACGACCAGACAGUGUGGUUACUGCUCAGACAAUUAAACAAAAGACACCAAUAACAUUUGACAUAUUUCAUUAAAUCACAUUAAUGGCAGCAGAGAAUUGCUGGGUUUCAUUCAUCCCUUAAUUAUUCAGAUUCCUAAUGAUGCUCUCGUUCUCUGAACAAAACGGCUGCAAAAAUACAAAAGUCUCUAAAUGAGAAACAACAAAGACGGUUGAAGGUUUUACUCGCUCAUCUCCGGGCCUGACACCCCCAACUCAAACCAACGUUCAGACUAGUUUGGGGGGUUCAUCCGCUCCAAUCCAAACUCCUUCUGGAGUCUCUGAUCUCCGUUGCUAUCAGGCCUCCCCACUGACACCCCCCUAAAUGAAGGGAGGCCUAUCUCCAGUGAGGGCCAGCCGUGUGUCUCCCAGAGAUUACUCUCACCCCCCACCCCAAACUCUGCUUUAAUACUUGAAAACCUACAAGAUGAAUUCCUUGAAAAAUACAAAAGCGGACUAAUCCCUCCAGUGAUGGAGCAGCAGGCUGACUGGGGAAGAAGAGACUUUUCUGCAGAGGCAGCCGAAAUUUAAAGCAUGGCACUGGUUAAGGACGUUGGUUACAACCCCGGUGUAACCAGCGCGGUGGAAAACAACCAUGUCCAAUGGAAGUAAAUAAAUAAAUAUUGAGG